RNAcentral lists this non-coding RNA (91 nucleotides) under Clostridium saudiense. RNAcentral describes it as "Purine riboswitch". It matches the Rfam family "Purine riboswitch aptamer". From Rfam's summary of the family: Riboswitches are metabolite binding domains within certain messenger RNAs that serve as precision sensors for their corresponding targets. Allosteric rearrangement of mRNA structure is mediated by ligand binding, and this results in modulation of gene expression. A class of riboswitches that selectively recognises guanine and becomes saturated at concentrations as low as 5 nM. Lineage: Bacteria; Bacillati; Bacillota; Clostridia; Eubacteriales; Clostridiaceae. The record is from RNAcentral.
AGAUAAUAAAAUGACUCAUAUAAGUCCCAGAUAUGGUGGGAUGUUUCUACCGGAAGCCAAAAAGUUCCGACUAUGAGUGAAUUUGAUAUAU